Acidobacteria bacterium 13_1_40CM_65_14 is the source of this 460-nucleotide non-coding RNA. NCBI's taxonomy places the organism in Bacteria, Pseudomonadati, Acidobacteriota. The record is from Rfam.
GCAGCGAGCCAGACGAUCGCCCUCCUUCGCCCGCUUCGCGGGCUUCGGAGGGCAGGCCCCUGAACUUGGGCUUGCCCACCGUAGCGCGAAGCGCGGAGGUGGGAGGAAAGUCCGAACUCCGCAGGGCAGUGCGCCGGGUAACGCCCGGUCAGGGCAACCUGAAGGACAGUGGCACAGAAAACAUACCGCUAACCUUGUGGUGUCCGGCUUUAGCCGGACCUGCAGGAAGCAAGGGUGAAAAGGUGCGGUAAGAGCGCACCGCGCCCGUGGUAACACGGGUGGCAGGCAAAACCCCGCACGGAGCAAGACCAAAUAGGGAGACAUUGGGACGGCCCGUCCUUCGUCUCCGGGUCGGUCGCUUGAUUCCGUCAGCGAUGACGGGACUAGAGGAAUGAUCGUCACGCCGAAGCCGCGCAAGCGGCGAAGGCGGACAGAAUUCGGCUUACGGCUCGCUGCGAUU